RNAcentral lists this ribosomal RNA (165 nucleotides) under uncultured bacterium. RNAcentral's name for it is "partial 16S ribosomal RNA". It matches the Rfam family "Bacterial small subunit ribosomal RNA", at positions 1328 to 1500 of the family's 1533-position model. The record is from RNAcentral.
GGAUUCGCUAGUAAUCGCGCAUCAGCCAUGGCGCGGUGAAUACGUUCCCGGGCCUUGUACACACCGCCCGUCAAGCCAUGGGAGCCGGGGGCGCCUGAAGUCCGGGACCGCGAGGACCGGCCUAGGGCGAAACUGGUAACUGGGGCUAAGUCGUAACAAGGUACC